GAUCCAUUAGCUCAGUUGGUAGAGCACUUGACUUUUAAUCAAGGGGCCUGGGGUUCAAGCCCCCAAUGGGUCACCA
Molecule: transfer RNA, 76 nt
Filed under: Clostridiales bacterium
Lineage: Bacteria; Bacillati; Bacillota; Clostridia; Eubacteriales
Also listed under: 1 other name
Description: tRNA-Lys
Rfam family: tRNA
About the family: Transfer RNA (tRNA) molecules are approximately 80 nucleotides in length. Their secondary structure includes four short double-helical elements and three loops (D, anti-codon, and T loops). Further hydrogen bonds mediate the characteristic L-shaped molecular structure. tRNAs have two regions of fundamental functional importance: the anti-codon, which is responsible for specific mRNA codon recognition, and the 3' end, to which the tRNAs corresponding amino acid is attached (by aminoacyl-tRNA synthetases). tRNAs cope with the degeneracy of the genetic code in two manners: having more than one tRNA (with a specific anti-codon) for a particular amino acid; and 'wobble' base-pairing, i.e. permitting non-standard base-pairing at the 3rd anti-codon position.
Source: RNAcentral